UGGGGAAUAUUGGACAAUGGGCGCAAGCCUGAUCCAGCCAUGCCGCGUGAGUGAUGAAGGCCCUCGGGUCGUAAAGCUCUGUCGGAGGGAACGAAUGCUCCUGAAGUUAACAGCUUCAGGAUGUGACGGUACCCCAAGAAGAAGCUCCGGCUAACUUCGUGCCAGCAGCCGCGGUAAUACGAAGGGGGGCUAGCGUUGUUCGGAUUUACUGGGCGUAAAGCGCGUGUAGGCGGGUCGUUAAGUUGGGGGUGAAAUCCCGAGGCUCAACCUCGGAACUGCCCUCAAAACUGGCGACCUGGACUCAAGCAGAGGCAAGUGGAAUUGCGAGUGUAGAGGUGAAAUUCGUAGAUAUUCGCAGGAACACCAGUGGCGAAGGCGACUUGCUGGGCUUGUAGUGACGCUGAGACGCGAAAGCGUGGGGAGCAAACAGGAUUAGAUACCCCAGUAGUCCCUGAGCGGGCUGGCAAGGCGCAU
Molecule: ribosomal RNA, 474 nt
Filed under: uncultured bacterium
Lineage: Bacteria
Description: bacterial SSU rRNA
Rfam family: Bacterial small subunit ribosomal RNA
Source: RNAcentral